GGGGCUGCACUGGUUUCGACAUGGGUUCGGACGCGUGGCAGGGCAUGUCGAGGUUCUGAUCCUCGUUAAUCUUCGGAAAAAAAACUAACUGCAAACGACGAACGUUUCGCACUCGCCGCUUAAUCCGGUGAGCCUUGCAACAGUUGGCCGAUAGGCUGGGUUAGGGUGAUGAGGGGGUUAAACCCCUCAAAGUCCUAGCUGCAAGGUAAAACAUAUGGGCUGGCA
Molecule: transfer-messenger RNA, 225 nt
Filed under: Limnohabitans sp.
Lineage: Bacteria; Pseudomonadati; Pseudomonadota; Betaproteobacteria; Burkholderiales; Comamonadaceae
Description: partial transfer-messenger RNA
Rfam family: transfer-messenger RNA
About the family: Bacterial tmRNA, also known as 10Sa RNA or SsrA, is named for its dual tRNA and mRNA-like properties.
Source: RNAcentral